This 210-nucleotide non-coding RNA is filed under the name Bacilli bacterium. RNAcentral describes it as "T-box sequence". It matches the Rfam family "T-box leader". From Rfam's summary of the family: Uncharged tRNA acts as the effector for transcription antitermination of genes in the T-box leader family. T-boxes are found upstream of many aminoacyl-tRNA synthetase genes and some amino acid biosynthetic genes usually in Gram-positive bacteria. The anticodon of a specific tRNA base pairs to a specifier sequence within the T-box motif, and the NCCA acceptor tail of the tRNA base pairs to a conserved bulge in the T-box antiterminator hairpin. Lineage: Bacteria; Bacillati; Bacillota; Bacilli. The record is from RNAcentral.
UAAGUAGCUAAGAAAGAAUGAAGUAGUUUUACAAAUCCCUAUCAAAGAGAGCUAGUGGUCGGUGGAAACUAGUAUACAUUUGUAACAUGAAUUACGUUCUGGAGCAAUUUCUUCUCUUAUGAAGGAAACGGUGGAAACAUCGAUAACAAUACCGAGUGGCACAACUGUGCAACAAGGGUGGUAACGCGUGUUUAAUAACUCGUCCCUUUU